GUAAUAAUUGCAGUGGGACCCGCAGACCAAUAAUUGAGUUAAAAAGCCCCGUUUUGAUGAUUAUCUUGAAAACUAGUACCGAUUGGACCCCACUUUCUUAAUAUAAAGCUAUUAAAUACGUAUUUUCAUGCCAUAAACGAUCCAAAGGGGUACCAAUUAUUUGUAAAUAUAAAUAUACCUUUCUAGAGCUGAUUUUCACCCGUAAAAUCAUUUCACCAGUUUCUCUGCACGAAUACCGAGAGAAACCGAGCGGUGUUCUUCGUGUUCUUCAUAAUCAAACGAAGAUUUGAAGGUGUUAUUGGAGUCAGAAUCAAGCGUGCAAAUAGUCAAAUCGAAGAUAUCGA
This 344-nucleotide long non-coding RNA is filed under the name Daucus carota (carrot). RNAcentral describes it as "long non-coding RNA (DCAR_LNC004140)". Lineage: Eukaryota; Viridiplantae; Streptophyta; Magnoliopsida; Apiales; Apiaceae. The record is from RNAcentral.